Molecule: ribosomal RNA, 915 nt
Filed under: uncultured bacterium
Lineage: Bacteria
Description: bacterial SSU rRNA
Rfam family: Bacterial small subunit ribosomal RNA
Source: RNAcentral
AGAGUUUGAUCCUGGCUCAGGAUGAACGCUAGCGGCAGGCCUAACACAUGCAAGUCGAGGGGUAACAGGAGAGAGCUUGCUCUUUUGCUGACGACCGGCGCACGGGUGCGUAACGSGUAUACAAUCUACCUUAUACAGGAGGAUAGCCUUUAGAAAUGAAGAUUAAUACUCCAUAGUCUAUUAAUAUAGCAUUAUAUAAAUAGUAAAGCUUCGGCGGUAUAAGAUGAGUAUGCGUCCUAUUAGUUAGUUGGUAAGGUAACGGCUUACCAGGACAACGAUAGGUAGGGGCCCUGAGAGGGGGAUCCCCCACACUGGUACUGAGACACGGGACCAGACUCCUACGGGAGGCAGCAGUGAGGAAUAUUGGACAAUGGGCGAGAGCCUGAUCCAGCCAUGCCGCGUGCAGGAAGACUGCCCUAUGGGUUGUAAACUGCUUUUAUAUAGGAAGAAACCAUCUCUCGUGAGAGAUAUUGACGGUACUAUAAGAAUAAGGACCGGCUAACUCCGUGCCAGCAGCCGCGGUAAUACGGAGGGUCCGAGCGUUAUCCGGAAUCAUUGGGUUUAAAGGGUCCGUAGGCGGGAAUCUAAGUCAGUGGUGAAAUCUUGCAGCUCAACUGUAAAAUUGCCAUUGAUACUGGAUUUCUUGAAUUAGUGUGAAGUGAUUAGAAUGUGUAGUGUAGCGGUGAAAUGCAUAGAUAUUACACAGAAUACCAAUUGCGAAGGCGGAUCACUAACACUAUAUUGACGCUGAGGGACGAAAGCGUGGGGAGCGAACAGGAUUAGAUACCCUGGUAGUCCACGCCGUAAACGAUGGAUACUAGCUGUUGGAGAGCAAUCUUCAGUGGCUAAGCGAAAGUGAUAAGUAUCCCACCUGGGGAGUACGUUCGCAAGAAUGAAACUCAAAUGAAUUGACGG